GAUCCUGGCUCAGGAUCAACGCUGGCGGCGUGCCUAACACAUGCAAGUCGAACGCUCUCUGCAACAGAGGGAGUGCCGGACGGGUGAGUAACGCGUGGGAACCUGCCCCAAAGUGAGGAAUACCGGCGAGAAAUCGCCGACAAUACCCCAUAGGCUUCUUGAAAGAGAAGCAAAGCCCGCAAGGGCGCUUUGGGAGGGGCCUGCGCCCGAUUAGCUGGUUGGUGAGGUAAGAGCUCACCAAGGCUGUGAUCGGUAGCUGGUCUGAGAGGACGAGCAGCCACACUGGGAUUGAGAACGGCCCAGACUCCUACGGGGGGCAGCAGUGAGGAAUUUUCGGCAAUGGGGGCAACCCUGACCGAGCAACGCCGCGUGCAGGAGGAAGGUCUUCGGAUCGUAAACUGCUUUACUGAGGGACGAGAAGGACG
This 425-nucleotide ribosomal RNA is filed under the name uncultured bacterium. RNAcentral's name for it is "bacterial SSU rRNA". It matches the Rfam family "Bacterial small subunit ribosomal RNA", at positions 15 to 456 of the family's 1533-position model. The record is from RNAcentral.